RNAcentral lists this ribosomal RNA (254 nucleotides) under uncultured bacterium. RNAcentral's name for it is "partial 16S ribosomal RNA". It matches the Rfam family "Bacterial small subunit ribosomal RNA", at positions 524 to 776 of the family's 1533-position model. The record is from RNAcentral.
UACGAAGGGCGCUAGCGCUGUUCGGAAUCACUGGGCGUAAAGCGCACGCAGGCGGAUCGAUAAGUCGGGGGUGAAAGCCCGGGGCUCAACCUCGGAACUGCCUCCGAUACUGGCGAUCUCGAGUCCGGGAGAGGUGAGUGGAACUCCGAGUGUAGAGGUGAAAGUCGUAGAUAUUCGGAAGAACACCAGUGGCGAAGGCGGCUCACUGGCCCGGUACUGACGCUGAUAGCGCGAAAGCGUGGGGAGCAAACAGG